This 271-nucleotide ribosomal RNA is filed under the name uncultured bacterium. Its description in RNAcentral is "partial 16S ribosomal RNA". It matches the Rfam family "Bacterial small subunit ribosomal RNA", at positions 524 to 794 of the family's 1533-position model. The record is from RNAcentral.
UACGGAGGGUGCAAGCGUUGUCCGGAUUCAUUGGGCGUAAAGCGAGUGUAGGCGGUUUGACAAGUCGAAUGUGAAAUCCCAGGGCCCAACCCUGGAACUGCAUCCGAUACUGUCUAGCUAGAGUCCCGGAGAGGGUGGCGGAAUUCCCGGUGUAGGGGUGAAAUCCGUAGAUAUCGGGAGGAACACCAGUGGCGAAGGCGGCCACCUGGACGGUGACUGACGCUGAGACUCGAAAGCGUGGGUAGCAAACAGGAUUAGAUACCCGGGUAGU